Molecule: long non-coding RNA, 1314 nt
Organism: Carassius gibelio (silver crucian carp)
Lineage: Eukaryota; Metazoa; Chordata; Actinopteri; Cypriniformes; Cyprinidae
Exons: 5
Source: RefSeq, a predicted model, not a curated record
UUUAUUUUAUUUGUUUUAUACUAAAAAGUAUAAAUAUACUUCCUCUUUACUUAAAAUAUAUCACUUUUUACAUAACAAUAUAUUUUAAGUAAAACAAUAGCAAUUUAUUUGGGUAGCUUUUUGUAUGAGUUUGUUGUGUACAAGAAAUGUUAUAAAAGUGAGUUGAAAUACACAAUUUAUUUGAGCAGCUGUCGAUGUGGCAUGUGUGUUCAUCAAACUUAAAUAUUUGAAAUAAAAAACACAUAAAAAUUAAGUUGGAUUUAUCCCUUUUUCACUGGCGGGGACUUUCCAAGGCAGAUGCUUCCUCGGCACUUCAACUGUUUGAAAGCUGCAGCGGAUCUAAAUUUCACAGACUGAUUAACACGUCUCCGGUGGGGCAUGCAGCUGUCGUGGGGUCCUCGUGUUAUCAGCAGCAGAGUUGUAACCAAGCGUUUUUGUUACCUGGGGUCUUCAGAUACAGGAUCCGUCUGGCUAUGUGGAGAAAAGGAGAGAAGUGGUACUGAGAUGCCUGAUUGAGUACAUGUGGGAGGGAAAGGAAGACCUCAUCAGUGUCCACCAUAGUCAUGAUGAAACAGAGGUGCACGCUGAGCUUGGCAGUUCCCCACUGAAAAUAUACAUGCGCCAUCAGCCAAACACGAUUGGGAUUAUCACAGUAGAAGGACAGCCCAUGGUCAGAGGUGUACCAAACCUGUAGAAAACCUCCUGUUUGGACUUGUCUAUGCCCACAACCUCUAAUAUCACUCAAAUCUGGUGUAUACUUCUGAGAUAUAUCACAGGCUCUUUGUGGGAUUGGACCCUAUGCAUACUUUUGUAUGUUUUGUAGGCACUGUUAAAAGUGACACUAGUUGACAUUGAAUAAAUGUUAUUGUCUUUAAUCUGUCUUCCCAUCUUUUUCUUCUUCAAUUGAAUUUGUAAUUGUUAUUGAUAAAGUCUGUUUAUGUAAAGUGAUUUACUGUACUGCUUAGAAUAUAGACAUUUAGAUGUAUUUUCUGAGGUUAUAGCCAGGACUUAAUUAAAAUGUUUAUUCACAUUUGAUUAGGUUAAAUUUACUAUGAGCAUAAAGUUCAUAAAACCUAACUAAAAUGAGUACAGGUUACUUGUAGCAACACAUAAAUACGUUACAUAUACCAAGAAAAUUAGGUUUAUCUAACUGACUAAUAUAGCACUUAUUAGUUAACUCAACUUGAUUUUGUUGUGUUUGAAUUAAGUAAUUUUACAGAGUUUAUUAUACUUGAAAAAGGCUGCAAGUUGACUCAACUUAAAACAUCCAAUGCAGCCACUUGCCUCACUUUUUAUAAGUUUGAUCUAGGUAUU